Molecule: long non-coding RNA, 2091 nt
Organism: Rhinolophus ferrumequinum (greater horseshoe bat)
Lineage: Eukaryota; Metazoa; Chordata; Mammalia; Chiroptera; Rhinolophidae
Exons: 2
Source: RefSeq, a predicted model, not a curated record
AUUAGAUACAUUUGCAAACCUGGUUUAUUAUUUCAAUGUCAUGGUGCCCCCCUGUGCAAAAUAACUUACAAUCUUAACUGCACCGUGAAGUUUUUAAACGACAAGACAAAUCUACCUUGGUAGAGGCCCAAAGUUCAGGUAAAUUCAGCACCUUCAUUUUUCUGAAGCUGUGAUAAAUAAAGGCUCAACGUGGUUUAUGGUGCUGCCAGUGGAGCAGGGGAUGACUGAUUUUUUAAAAAACAAACAACACAUCCUCAGCACAACCUGAAUAUUUCUGUGUUAACUUACUGACAUACACGCACAUUCAAAUGGGGCCCCUUAAAAUAUGCAUGUUAACCACUUGUUUCUGCCCAGCAAUUUCAAGUCGGUACUGUCUCAAGUUUAUGAACAUGCUGAGCAGUCUCCAGAAUUGACCAGAAAAGUUGUUCAAUGCAAACAAGGGCACUGUUCAGAUUUCCAUGCAGCCUGUCAUGUCAUGGAGUGGGUCGGCCAAGCAGUAACUGAAAGGUUCACCUUAACCAUCAACCCUCAACCAAGCUGAGGAUUCCACAUAUUUGCUGAAAAGGCCCAGCACGCUUAUCUCCCCCCAGAGGGAAGAGAACCAAUAAUCUUUGUUCAAUGGACCACCCUUGCAGCCUAGAAACCAAGUGGGGUAAGGUCUAGCGCACAGCAGUCCCCAAUCCAGCUUUCCCAUGACCUUCCUGUACAAUGAGGACCCACAUAAUUCACAAAUCCUUUGGAUAAAUGCCAGAUGCAUCGGUGCUGGCAACUCAGAUAAUUUGUGGGGAGCAAAGAAAUGUAAAAUGAGCAGCAGCAGCAGCAGGUCUCCCGCGCUCAUGCCACUGGGUUGCCUUCCGCCUCCCACCGAAGGGCCAACAGCUCAGGUCCUCCCCAUUUCACCACACACGACAGGAAGGGGCAGUUUCCUGCGCCCUGGCCCCUCGCAUAAGCCCAAAUCACCCGGCCUCUGGGCUGUGGGGGGCGCCUGUCUCUGGGCCCUGCCAUUUCAUGGGGCGCAGCCGGCGGGGAGUUCCGCACGGAGAGUUCCAGAAGCAGCCAACCACCGCCAUCUCUGCGGCUCUGGGGCCGCCGCCUCUCGCUCCCAACCCGCAGCGUAACGAAGGUGACGCCAGGGGGCGGUGAGAGGCCCGGGGCCUCGGACUCGGUGCCUCCGCGGCCUCAAAGGGCACACGACCCCCGGCCCGCCGCCCUCGCUCCUGCCGGCCUGGCUCCCCUCGCGACCGGCCUCGGGUCUCCUUGUUCUCGCCCGGCCUGGCCUGCUCUCGUUCCCGCCCCGGCCGCCCUCGCUCCCGCCCGGGCCCUGACCGUUGAGGCAGACGGUGGGCUGCGAGCAGAGCGGACUGUUGCAGGGCACGCUGGGCCGCAGCUAGAUGCCAAAAGCCCAGGGGAUCUUGAAAGCCAGUGCUGAAGACAGCAGACCCUUUUCCGCCACCAUCAACAUGGGUCCCAGAAGAACUGUGCAGAGCCCUGCCUCCCUCACCCAGGAGCGUCACAGGAUUAUUGUAAGGGAGAUAGCAACUUUUGUUAUAGCAGCUUAGAAUUAUCCUAGCUAAUACACAUCCACUUUACAAAGGAGAUUAAAGGCUGAAGAGUUACUCAUUUGUUCAAAAAGAUCCCUCACUAGAUAUUGUAUGUCUUGAAGAAAUGAAGCUGCUCAAGGAUUCUACAGCAGUUCUAAAUUGUACAGUCCUUUAGGAAGUGGGAGAGCAGCAGUGGUCUUAGGUACUCUGGUUUGGUUUGUGCUACGGUGCCACAGCAGUGCCACACUGGGAAGGAUGCUUGGCGGCUUGCUUCAAUUUUCAUGUUUCCCUUUUCUUGUCAAGUGCAGAUGGACAGCCUGGUUCCCAGAUAGCAGAAUGCUGCGACAGCUUUCAGCACUCUCUUGCUGAUGGAAAUCUCAAUGGUGGCUCGGUUUCCCUGGUGCAUGACUGCGGUCCUCUUAAGGCUGAGCACCAGCGUGCUUACAUUGCAGGAGUCUGUAGCAUUUGCAUGCCUUUUGCAGAUGUGCUCUGUGAAUGCAGACAUCAGCAACCACUGGAUUACAAUCAAAUAGUCUCAUCAAAAGGUUAG